GUGUAAAACCACAGCAUGCACUGAAACCAAGCAUCUAAACACAGAGGUGAAAGAUGUUUAUCAUGGGAAACACAGGCUGCCAUUCAGGUGUGGAAUGUUUACGCGUCACACACAGAAGUACAUUAGUCAAGAUCACAACAACUUAAGUUGCAGAAAACAGCUCCCGUGAUCAUCAGCCCACAACAUUACCACAUGACUUGUAGUCAAGUUCACAGUGACCUGAUUACUGAAGUCUUCACUGCUAACACGGACACAGCAGGCUUCAGUGAAUCAACUCUGUUGAAGGUUGUGUAACCAGUGAACAGCAACAACAAAAAUUGGCUAUACACAUAACGGUAAAUAGCUUUUCCAGGUAAAAAAGGAACCAACCCACAUUUCACAAUUUUCCCAGAUUUCGCAGACUUGUCCCACAAAAUUACUGAGUUGGCUUACUGGCCAUUCACCUACACAAACUUUUUGACCUGUCAGCUCAGGAACAGCACCCCCCUACCUCAACACUCUCUUGAAGGCUUACAUUCCCUCACGCAAUCUGCAAUCGAUUAACAACCGGCACUUAGUAGUGCCUUCUCUGUGUGGCUCAAGGUUACUUUCCAGAACCUUCACACUAACUGUCCCUCAGUGGUGAAAUGAACUUCCAACCCCACUCCGGACUGCAGAAUCUGUCACUAUCUUCAAAAAACAGCUAAAGACUUAUCUCUUCCGUGAGCAUGUAACUAACCCCUAAAAUGCUAACCCCACAUUAUCCUUUAAAAAAAAAAAAGAAAUUUACACUAGCUCUUACACCCCUAUUCUGCGCACUUUGCGUUUCUAGAACUCAAUUAAAAGAUCUUGCAUGUUAGCACUGCUUGUAUUGUUCUCCACUUGAUAUAUAUCGCUUUGCUUGUAUUUCCUCAUUUGUAAGUUAUUUUGGAUAAAUGCAUCUGCUAAAUGAAUAAAUGUAAAUGUAAGCUGUCACAGGUUAACUCAGGGGUUCCCAAACUUUUCCAUGGCAAGGCCCCCCAGAUGGCAUUAAAAUUUGACCAAGGCCUUCCUUUUGCAAGAUGUCUUUAAAACAUAUUAAAAAUACAGACUUCUGAAUAUAUCCCCCCUUUUUUAUUAUUAAUAAUUACAUCUUACAUCUUUACAUUACAAUACAUUAGGAAUUGAUUUUGUGUGUGUGUGUGUGUGUGUGUGUGUGUGUGUGGUUGUCUGAGAGUGAGAAAUAGAAAACAUACAUUUAUUUAUUUUUCACACCAAAUUGUUGAGGCCCUCCGCAUGCCCCCUGACGGCCCCCACUUUGAAAACCACUGGGUUAACUAAGUUAACAGCCAAAGAAUGUAAGUAUCAUCUGGAGCAAGGUGUCUGCUUCUACUGUGGAGAGACAACCCACUGUGUCUCAACAAUUCAGAUGUUAAACAACCACAUGAUAAUGUGGUGUGUAUGCUUUGUAUUGCAUUAUUUCACCCAAAUCACUCUGAAUUUCUGUCUUGCUCAAGCAUUCACAUACUCCCUGUCCUCUUGCAGCACACACUUGCACUGAAGUGGCUGACAACUUCAUAAAUCUCAACACAAUUCACCCACUAAAGGUUCAAGUCUUCAUCCAUAAAUACAUUACUGUGACCUGGACCAAAUGACAGCAAAAUAUAGAUACCCAUAGCCUCUUCUGCCCUUAGAUCUGAAAGAGCUCAACAGCCAGCAUCUUCAAGAAAACCCCAACCGAGUUCGCAUCAGAGCAGAUAAGGAAUGAAAGACAGCAUUCAGCAUAACCCCCAGGUCACUAUGAAUAACUGGUAAUGCCAUUCAGAUUGCUCAAUACCCCCUGUCUCUUCCAGGCAUUUAUUAAUGCUGUGCUCGGAGACAUAUUUGGAAAAUUUAGGCCAUUGCCUAAAAUGAUGAUAUUUUAAUUUAUCCCAUUUCCAUAACUCAAAUCCAGGACUACAUCAUCAGUCAAGAGGAUGCUGACACUGACAAUGCCAAGGUCCAAGUAGUAGCAGAGUGGCCCACAGAGAUUCCUAGGGUUUUAGAAACUUCAGCGUCAUUGUAAACCAUCUCACAUCACUCCUUAAGAAAGGAUUAAAUAUACCACUCUAGAACACCAAAGCAGAUUAUACAUUCAAUACCACUACCUGCAAACAACUUCAAACCUCAAAUGGGACUUUUUCUUUAGAUGCGGCCAAGUUUGACUUGUUGAAAACAUGUUGAUAGUGUGCAUGGCCAAGAACAUUUUUGAUCUUAUAACUAUUUCAUUGUAAUUGUAGUUCCAAUGAUGCGUGGCAAAGUUCAGGGACUGUAUUUUGUGGGAUGGUCCGAGGAGACAAUUCUUUCUUGCAACCCUUCCAAAUGAUCUCAGCAUGUCUAAUAGUUGAUUUUGAGACAUUGAUUUCCUCUAUCAUCUUCCCCACUGUCAGGAGGGCAGUAUGUUUUUCUGAAUAGUUUUCAACUGUACCAAGCUCAUGGCCAUGGUUGUACUGAAUUUGUAACUGCUUAUAGCUAUAUUUUUUUAUAUCCAUUAAAUGGCUUGUGCAGGACAAGUUUUGUGUUGAAAGCUUGUUGGAUCUCCCUAUGGUGAUGAUAAAGGAUUAAAAAGGGAUUUUAAAUAUGUGCAAUUUUACAUGGUGUCCCAAAAGUCUCCAUACAUAGGGGACUAUGUAUGCCAGCACCAUGUCGGCUGUACCUUUGCCAUGGAUGUUUGAGGAUGUCCAGUUCUUUUUGAAAUUUGUUAAUACGUUUAGCAACAGUGUUGUGUGAGAUGUGCUUCCUGUUAAAGUCCAUCGCAACCCUGCAACAGCUUCCCGAUCCAGCCAUGAGAAUGAUUUCAAUAUGUUCUUCUUUUGUCAAAGGCAUUCUGAAAGGCUAUCUGAAAAAUACAUACAUUUUUAUACAUAUAAGUAUGUGCUAAAAUGUUGGAAGACAUUUUUUUUUUUUUUACUUUUUAGUCAGUACACGUAGAUGACCACCUGUGCACACAGCCACUUAGUCACUUGUGCUUUAUUUGUCAGUUAAAAAAACAUGCAUUGCUUCCAGGUAAUAGCUGCUAAAGAGGUGCAUACACCCUCCCUCACUAUGAACACAAUUCAUUAGAACCUGUGGUCCAAUAUUCAGUAAAUUUCUACAUAGUGGUCACAUACCAGCUUAUUCAUGCCAACCACACAUAUGAGACAGCUGCUCUAAAAAAAGCUGUGGCUGUGCAUUUCUGACCACUUGGCAUAAGCUGAUGUCAGGGAAAAGUCCUGUAUCAAACUUACACUGGUCAUAUGUGGUUUUCAUUCUGUUUUUGUAAAAAGAAAAAAUCCCCUAAAACACAUUUGUCUUGUGUUAAACAGCACUACACUUACGUCAUAUAAACACAGAGCAUAAUAGGAAGGGAUUUUCACUGACCGUGUUUAUUAACAAUGUUCACAAUACAUGUAUUACAUAUCAAAAGGAGGAAGGAUAUGCAUUUUGGACAAAUACAACAGACCUUGGAUGGUCUUAUUAUGUCUUGUAUAGCUCAAAAAUCCCUAGAAGUCUAUUUUCCACAUUAAAUUCAAUUGCAUACUGUAACAUAGAAACAAAAAAAUUACUAAAAUAUUUUAAAUAUGGGUCUAAAUGCAACCGUCCUGUUAAUGUCAUCAUGGCCAUUUAUGAAUGUUGACAUGCCUUAGAAAAUUACUUUUGUAUCUGUAGUUAAUUAUACAGCCAUUAAUUAUUUUAAUACAAACCAAUGUGCCAAAUAUAAUAUAAAGUCUCAUGGGAGUACUUUUUUCCUUGCCUGAUGCUUAUUUGCAAAGUUAAGCGAAGUGUUUGUGUGCAUUCAGAAUCUGAGUGGGAUUUGGUCUAAAUGAGAAGGGUAGGGCAUAUUCUGCUGCUGUGGUUCUUUUAUAGCCCAACUUCCCUGCCUGCAGUUUUUAAAGAAUAAUUUUAAUGCAUGAAAGGGUGGUUUUUAAAGAAAUGAAGCUGCAGGCAAUAACUUUUCCUCACUAUUUUUAGAAUUGAACCCCUAAAACUGAAGUGUAUAGAUAAAUUCUUAAGGCCCAUAACCAAGGUAAAUCCAACAAACCAUCCUGGACUUUUGUUAUGUAAGCAAACAGCAGCUAGGCCACACUGCCUCUGGAUUGUCUCAUCUAAAAUGUGUAAAAUGUGGUCAGCCAAUACCCUCAUCUUGUAUACUUUGCACGUUCACAUAAUGGAUGUAAACUGCUGUUGCCAAAUGAGGGGGUGAAUAUUAUCGUUGCCAAACAAAGAUGUGAAUUUGUUUACAGCAGAGCCAGGCCUUUUAGAGCAGAGAAACAAAACCAUGGUGCCAUCCGGUGCAGCCCCAGAGCCAAUUUCAUUAAGCAUUUGACGCCAAGCUUAAACAGUGGCAGAUGUUGAUGUUUUUCUUGGGCUUUAGAAAUGUCUAAGGUAAAAAUAGAAUAAGAUAUAUACGGUUGUGUCUAAAUGGUGUCAAAUAGCCUAAGCUGAAAUGAGUAUAUAUACACAGUACAUACUAUAUUAUCAUAGUAAAAACCGUAUAUUCCUUAUGUAAUAUGUAAAGGCUUUGUUUACAAACAUUAUAUGGCCUAGUAUUCUUACCAAAAUAACAAUGGCAAGGAAGUCACUGAAAACCAUGAGCAAAGUUUCAUGAGUCAUAACCCAAUGAUUUUAUAAUCUUUGUCAGUGUCUGGAAGUGGCUUAUGAAAGGGUGUGUUGUAAUCCUUAUAACCAAGUGCUGCUACUUUAAAUGGCAGAAACUGGAUUUGAAGGUCUUUGAGUCUUGUGUUAAAAUGCAUUUUAUAUGGAUAUUUCUCUUGAGGAACCCACUUUCCACUUCAAAGUCAUGAUGGCUUUUGUACGGUUGAAUAAUAAAGUAUUCAUG
Molecule: long non-coding RNA, 4816 nt
Organism: Ictalurus punctatus (channel catfish)
Lineage: Eukaryota; Metazoa; Chordata; Actinopteri; Siluriformes; Ictaluridae
Exons: 3
Source: RefSeq, a predicted model, not a curated record